Molecule: ribosomal RNA, 462 nt
Filed under: uncultured bacterium
Lineage: Bacteria
Description: partial 16S ribosomal RNA
Rfam family: Bacterial small subunit ribosomal RNA
Source: RNAcentral
GACGAACGCUGGCGGCGUGCUUAACACAUGCAAGUCGAGCGACGCUCUUCCUUCGGGGAGAUGACGGAGCGGCGAACGGGUGAGUAACACGUGGGCAACCUGCCCCUAGCUCUGGGACAACACCGGGAAACCGGUGCUAAUACCGGAUACGACAUCGAGCGGCAUCUCUCGAUGUGGAAAGUUUUUUCGGCUAGGGAUGGGCCCGCGGCCUAUCAGCUUGUUGGUGGGGUAAUGGCCCACCAAGGUGACGACGGGUAGCCGGCCUGAGAGGGCGACCGGCCACACUGGGACUGAGACACGGCCCAGACUCCUACGGGAGGCAGCAGUGGGGAAUAUUGCGCAAUGGGCGAAAGCCUGACGCAGCGACGCCGCGUGAGGGAGGACGGCCUUCGGGUUGUAAACCUCUUUCAGCAGGGACGAAUUCAGACGGUACCUGCAGAAGAAGCACCGGCCAACUACGUG